Scophthalmus maximus (turbot) is the source of this 813-nucleotide long non-coding RNA. RefSeq lists it as uncharacterized. The record is from RefSeq and is a predicted model, not a curated record. The transcript has 3 exons. Lineage: Eukaryota; Metazoa; Chordata; Actinopteri; Pleuronectiformes; Scophthalmidae.
UUCUUGUUUAACUUUUUCCUUCGUGUUUCUCUGACUUGUGAAAUACGAGUUGCACAGGCACAACAGACUGGAUCUCAUUCUGUCAGAGGAGACUGCUGCACAGUACGGAGGUUGACAGUGAAGGGCCAGUGCCGAGUUACACUCGGUUUUGCAAACCACAUGGGUGGCAAAGGAUAACUCCUGCGAGAUUUAUGCCCAUGAUGAUGCAUAAGAGGGCUUGAGGUGACAUUUCUUGCUGAUAAUCGACAAGGUCAAAAGUUCUUACUUCUCUUCCUUCCCUUAAUGGUGUCCUGCGGAUUUGUCUUCCAAAAAGAUACGUUUCUUCUCACAUACAGCAUGCUGUGUGUUUUCUCUGGGUCCUACAAAUAUGGUCAGUUGAUUUUCUUUUGUCUUUAAAGUUGUAAAAAAUUAUAUUGUGUACAUUCUAAUUUUGUUCAUGAUUUAGGUCCAUAUUCUGUUCAUGAGAAGCGUCGUUCACUGCUUUUGGAAUAAACAGCAAAACAAGGAAAUGUGAAAGAUGGCUGGCUGAGUAGUGAAAAGCACUGAUCAAAUUCAGUAAAAUCACCUUACAGUUUUUUGAGUUUUUCUGAAUAUUUCUGGUCAGUGGUCAAUGAAGCUGUCCCUCUUUUUAAGGGACAAAUAUGCUGAGUGAGUGUACUGUGCUCUACUUAAGGGAAACCAUAUUGACGAAGUAGAACCAACCAUUUUUAAAUGACAAAAAUGUGGGGAAAACAAUAGCUGAUAUAGGGUUUAUGCUGGAAUCCAUCUGUUUAAAAAUAAAGGCAGAUGCAUCUCUUCAUAAAUUGAAAGAGG